UACGUAGGCAGCAAGCGUUGUUCGGAGUCACUGGGCGUAAAGGGUGCGUAGGCGGCUCUAUAAGUAUGGUGUGAAAUCUCCCGGCUUAACUGGGAGGGUGCGCUAUAGACUGUGGGGCUAGAGUGCGGGAGAGGAAAGUGGAAUUCCUGGUGUAGCGGUGAAAUGCGUAGAUAUCAGGAGGAACACCGGUGGUGUAAACGGCUUUCUGGACCGUAACUGACGCUGAUGCACGAAAGCGUGGGUAGCAAACAGG
Molecule: ribosomal RNA, 253 nt
Filed under: uncultured bacterium
Lineage: Bacteria
Description: partial 16S ribosomal RNA
Rfam family: Bacterial small subunit ribosomal RNA
Source: RNAcentral